GACGAACGCUGGCGGCGUGCUUAACACAUGCAAGUCGAGCGGUAAGGCCCUUUCGGGGGUACACGAGCGGCGAACGGGUGAGUAACACGUGGGUGACCUGCCCUCAGCUCUGGGAUAAGCCUGGGAAACCGGGUCUAAUACUGGAUAUGACUCCAUGACGCAUGUUGUGGGGUGGAAAGCCUUGUGCGGCUGAGGAUGGGCCCGCGGCCUAUCAGCUUGUUGGUGGGGUGANGGCCUACCAAGGCGACGACGGGUAGCCGGCCUGAGAGGGCGACCGGCCACACUGGGACUGAGACACGGCCCAGACUCCUACGGGAGGCAGCAGUGGGGAAUCUUGCGCAAGUGGGCGAAAGCCUGACGCAGCGACGCCGCGUGAGGGAUGACGGCCU
Molecule: ribosomal RNA, 389 nt
Filed under: uncultured bacterium
Lineage: Bacteria
Description: bacterial SSU rRNA
Rfam family: Bacterial small subunit ribosomal RNA
Source: RNAcentral